This is an RNA transcript of Cebus imitator (Panamanian white-faced capuchin), 4720 nucleotides long. It is a transcript of the gene named B cell scaffold protein with ankyrin repeats 1, with no coding region annotated. NCBI's taxonomy places the organism in Eukaryota, Metazoa, Chordata, Mammalia, Primates, Cebidae. The record is from RefSeq and is a predicted model, not a curated record. The transcript has 17 exons.
AAGCAGCCUUUUGAAAAGGGAUGCAAAAGCAGGCCCCUGAUCAGUUUCACUUCCUCUGGGCGCCCAGCGGAGCGGAGUCCCGGCCUUGCGGGCAUGAGCCCUGGGGCUGCGUUUCCUGAGACCUGGCCGCAGCCACCCCGGGUGGCAAGCAGGCUGGGGACAGCCGAUCGCCAGAGGAAGAGAGAAUCGCGGGGAGCCUCUGACCGGGAGAGUCCUCGGCUUCAGCCGCCACAAUGCUGCCUGCCGCACCAGGCAAGCGGCUUGAGAGCCCGGACCAGGCCCCCUGCGGCCCAGCGCCCCCAGGAAGUGCAAAAGACAUCAUAAUGAUAUAUGAAGAAGAUGCUGAGGAAUGGGCUCUGUAUUUGAUGGAAGUAUUUUUACAUGUUGUGAAAAGGGAAGCGAUCCUGUUAUAUCACUUGGAGAAUUUUUCUUUUCGGCAUUUGGAGUUGCUGAACUUAACCUCUUACAAAUGUAAACUUUUGAUAUUAUCAAACAGCCUGCUUAAAGAUCUAACUCCAAAGAAAUGUCAAUUUCUAGAAAAGGUACUUCAUUCAGCAGAAAGUGUAGUUACUUUGCUUUGUGGAGUGAAGAGUUCAGCUCAGCUCUAUGAAUUAUUAAACAUCUCUCAAAGCAGAUGGGAGAUCUCAACUGAGCAGGAACCUGAAGACUACAUCUCUGUAAUCCAGAGUAUCAUAUUCAAAGAUUCUGAAGAAGACUACCUUGAAGUCAGCAUUCCAACAGACCUACAAGUAAAACAUUCUGGGGAAAUAAGCGAGAGAAAGGAAAUUGAAGAACUGUCAGAAGCUUCAAGAAACACCAUGCCACUAGCAGUGGUGCUUCCCGCUGAAAUUCCAUGUGAGAAUCCUGGUGAAAUAUUCAUAAUUUUGAGAGAUGAAGUAAUUGGUGAUACUGUGGAGGUUGAAUUUACAUCAAAUAAUAAGCACAUUAGAACACGGCCGGCACUUUGGGAUAAGAAAGUCUGGUGCAUGAAAGCUUUAGAGUUUCCUGCUGGUUCAGUUAAUGUUGAUGUCUACUGUGAUGGAAUCAUUAAAGCCACAACCAAAAUUAAAUACUACCCAACAGCAAAGGCAAAGGAAUGCCUGUUCACAAUGGAAGAUUCAGGAGAGAGUUUGUACCAGAAUGAUAUUGAAGCACUUGAUGAUGUCCUUACAUCCAUAUUCAAACAUGAGAUACCAUAUUAUGAGUUCCAAUCUCUUCAAACUGAAAUUCACUCUCAAAAAAAAGAUAAUCAUUUCAAAGAACUUCCAACUCUUCUCCACUGUGCAGCAAAAUUUGGCUUAAAGAACCUAGCUAUUCAUUUGCUUCAAUGUUCAGGAGCAACCUGGGCUUCUAAGAUGAAAAAUGUGGAGGGUUCAGACCCCGCACAUAUUGCUGAAAGGCAUGGUCACAAGGAACUCAAGGAAAUCUUUGAAGACUUUUCAGCAUUAAACAGAGCAGCAUGGCAUCUAUCUCAGAUCCAAGAAACUGACAGAAAUAAUGAGCAAGAAAAUGAUUAUGAAGAGGAUAUUGCCUCAUUUUCCACAUAUAUUCCUUCCACCCAGAACCCAGGAUUUCAUCACGACAGCAGGAACACAUGCAGGCAAAGUGCAGAUGGAGCUGAGGCAAAUAAAAUGGAAGGGGAAGGAAAAGAGAAUGGGUCAGGCACGGAGGCCAAGCACAGCCCAGCAGAGGUUGGCAGUGAGAGUUCCGAGGACCAGUAUGAUGACUUGUAUGUGUUCAUUCCUGGUUCUGACCCAGAAAAUAAUUCACAAGAGCCACUCAUGAGCAGCAGACCUCCUCUCCCUCCACCGCGACCUGUAGCUACUGCCUCCCAACUGGAAAGACCUCACUUCACCUUACCAGGGACAAUGGUGGAAGGCCAAAUGGAAAGAAGUCAGAACUGGGGUGAUCCUGGUGUUAGACAAGAAACAGGAGAUGAACUCAAAGGGCAAAAAGAGAAGAAAGAAGAUGAAAAGGAUCAGGAGGAGGAGGAAGACCCAUACACUUUUGCUGAGAUUGAUGACAGUGAAUAUGACAUGAUUUUGGCCAGUUUGAGUAUAAAGAAAAAAACUGGGAGUCGGUCUUUCAUUAUAAACAGACCUCCUGCCCCCACACCCCGACCUACAAAUAUACCUCCGAAAGAGGAAACCACACCUUACAUAGCUCAAGUGUUUCAACAAAAGACAGCCAGAAGACAAUCUGAUGAUGACAAGUUCCGUGGUCUUCCUAAGAAACAAGACAGGUCUCGGAUAGAGAGUCCAGCCUAUCCUACUCUCAGGGGCUGCCUUACUGCUGGUCAGGAAGAACUCAUCCUCCUGCAAGAGAAAGUCAAAAAUGGGAAAAUGUCUGUGGAUGAAGCUCUGGAGAAAUUUAAACACUGGCAGAUGGGAAAAAGUGGCCUGGAAAUGAUUCAGCAGGAGAAAUUACGACAACUACGAGAUAGCAUUAUUGGAAAAAGGCCAGAAGAAGAAAAUGUCUAUAAUAAACUCACCAUUGUGCAUCAUCCAAGUGGUAAGGAAACUGCCCACAAUGAAAAUAUGUUUUAUAACAUACCCUUCAGCAAUAAGGUAGGUUGUAUUUAUUUUGAUUUUUAUAAAAUGCAAAAAAAUAACUUGGUUAAAAAAGAACAUGAAAACCUUCUAUUCUGUCUGUGCUUUUAAACAUUCUAACAAAUAUUAACAAAAUAGGUUAGGUGCACCUUUAUAUACAAAAUCUAUGAACAGUAAUUUAAGGAAAUUAACUAUUCAGAAAAAAACAAAGAGGGAACUCAAAGGAAAAAGCCGCUGAGACCAAAGUGUGGUUAUAUUCAACAUGCACAGACCAAAGAAAAAAUUAGAGGAAUUAUCAAUACAUGAGUUUCAACAAUAGAAAUAUGAUGAGUCUACUGCAUUUGAAUCACAAUGUAUACAGUCCUUAAAUUCUGGGAUGUUAGUAGGGGAAAUAUAACUCCAAAAUAUUAUCAAUGUAAAUAUGCAUUACUUCACAUCAUAUAGUUAACUAAAACUAAAUUGCUAAUGAGAAGCUAUUAAUAACACUAAGCAAAGACAGCAGCAAUGGAAAACUAAGACCAAUGCAAGAAAACAUUGAUAAUGUCCUGACUACAAUUUUUUUCAUAAAAAUGUUAUUCCAGCUAUCUGCAUAUAUGAUGAAACACACUUGCCCUGCUAGUAAUGGUCCUGUAGCAACUGGGUUUCUUGCUAAAAUCCUGAAUCAGAGUCUUUGCUAAGUUCUUAUAAUGAACAAAUUUUAAUUUUCCAAAGUCUAAUAACCCUUUAAGCUCUUUGUAUAUUUCAAAUAAGUCAUAAGUGAUCAUAAAAAUCAUUCACCCUUAAAAACUAAUUGAAGUAUUUGCAUUUUUAUUCUUCUGUAGCCUACCAUCAACCUGUGUGUAUGUGUAUAUAUGUGUGUUUGUGUGUGUGCAUAUAGAGAGAGAGAGAAAAAAAAAGAGAGAGAGACUCAUUAGACUCAUUCAAAUGUAGCAAAAUUGUGGGGUGCACUAUGGCUUUAGGGCUUAUGAAAAUAUCAACCAAGAUUAUUCUACAAGAGCUGCACAAACAUGGCAGUUUUGGAAAGGAGAUUUUGAAUAAGAGGAAAAGAAUACAAAUACCCAAUGCUUUGUAAACUGGUCUCUCUCAAAAUGGAAAUAAAAUUUGAAUUCAAGAACUUGGAUGCAGUUGAACUUUACAAUGAUUCUGUUUCCUUUUAAAAUGGAAGACUGUCUUUCCAAUUGUCUCUGCAAAGCUGUUUUUCCAUGGCUGCGAAAGGCAACUAUAACUUUGUCAUAUUUCUUUGUUCAACCUUAAAAUAGAAACAAAGAGAAAUGCUAGCUCUGUAUCUUUUUUUUUUUUUUUCCAGCUUCCUGCUCGACCUCAAGUUGAAAAGGAAUUUAGUUUCUGUUGCAGGAAAGAUCAUUAAAGAAGGUUAUUAUAAUGAAACUCAAGAAUCUACAGACAUUUUGCUUUCAGUGUGAAGUAAGCUUGCAUUUGGAUCGCCUGCUCUCUUUAGAGCAAAUCUAUACUAUGAAAGCAGAAACAAGCCUUCAGAUUUCAGAAUUUGUUAUUGGCCGAAUUUAUUGUCAUUAUACCUGCUUAAUAUGGUUAAAUUAAUAUUAAAACAGAAUACCAUGAAGUAAUUGCAUUAUUUGAAAAUUCUUGCAUUUUACAAUGCACUUUACCUCUGAAGCAGCUAAAUCCCAUUUUAAAAAUUAAAGGAAAACAAGCAGAGAGAAAUUAAAUGCUGUGUAACAAAGUUAUGGGGUCUGCUUGGGCGCACUAACCUCAACAGAUUAUUCCUCCGCUCCUAAGAAUAACCAUGAAAAUACAAAUUUACUGGUCACCUAUUUGCUUUUUACAUAGCUGGUCCAUUUUCCGAAUUUCUCACAUUCAGAGUUGUAGUUACUAUUGCUACAUCAUGUUUGCAAAAACUUUGUCUUAUUUAGUACCUAUUUGCAUAUAAUCCUGAGAGCAUUAUUUGAAAACUUUUCUAUAUCUCAAAUUAAUUUACAUUUUUAUAACCUACCUUUUUAUUAAAAGACUUGCAAUUUUAUCAACCUAUUUCUUAGAAACAAUUUACUAGCUUAGAAUAGAAUGCAAUUUUAUCAUACUAUAAUUUUCAUGUACAAAUGCGACAAAUAAAUUGAAUGUUUAAAACUGUGUCUCAGUUUUUAAAGUAAAUUUAUGAUAAUUAGCCAAUAAGAUUGGUUUCUUGGACUAUUGGCCAA